RNAcentral lists this ribosomal RNA (231 nucleotides) under Clostridioides difficile. RNAcentral's name for it is "partial 16S ribosomal RNA". It matches the Rfam family "Bacterial small subunit ribosomal RNA", at positions 299 to 547 of the family's 1533-position model. Lineage: Bacteria; Bacillati; Bacillota; Clostridia; Peptostreptococcales; Peptostreptococcaceae. The record is from RNAcentral.
GGUGAUCGGCCACAUUGGAACUGAGACACGGUCCAAACUCCUACGGGAGGCAGCAGUGGGGAAUAUUGCACAAUGGGCGAAAGCCUGAUGCAGCAACGCCGCGGGAGUGAUGAAGGCCUUCGGGUCGGAAAACUCUGUCCUCAAGGAAGAUAAUGACGGUACUUGAGGAGGAAGCCCCGGCUAACUACGUGCCAGCAGCCGCGGUAAUACGUAGGGGGCUAGCGUUAUCCG